UACAGAGGGUGCAAGCGUUAAUCGGAAUUACUGGGCGUAAAGCGCGCGUAGGUGGUUUGUUAAGUUGGAUGUGAAAGCCCCGGGCUCAACCUGGGAACUGCAUUUGUGACUGCACGGCUAGAGUGUGUCAGAGGGGGGUAGAAUUCCACGUGUAGCAGUGAAAUGCGUAGAUAUGUGGAGGAAUACCGAUGGCGAAGGCAGCCCCCUGGGAUAACACUGACGCUCAUGCACGAAAGCGUGGGGAGCAAACAGG
RNAcentral lists this ribosomal RNA (253 nucleotides) under uncultured prokaryote. RNAcentral describes it as "partial 16S ribosomal RNA". It matches the Rfam family "Bacterial small subunit ribosomal RNA", at positions 524 to 776 of the family's 1533-position model. The record is from RNAcentral.